Molecule: ribosomal RNA, 445 nt
Filed under: uncultured bacterium
Lineage: Bacteria
Description: partial 16S ribosomal RNA
Rfam family: Bacterial small subunit ribosomal RNA
Source: RNAcentral
GUGAGGAAUAUUGGACAAUGGGCGCAAGCCUGAUCCAGCCAUGCCGCGUGCAGGAAGACGCAUCUAUGGUGUGUAAACUGCUUUUGUACGGGAAGAAACACUCCCUCGUGAGGGAGCUUGACGGUACCGUAAGAAUAAGGAUCGGCUAACUCCGUGCCAGCAGCCGCGGUAAUACGGAGGAUCCAAGCGUUAUCCGGAAUCAUUGGGUUUAAAGGGUCCGUAGGCGGUGUAAUAAGUCAGUGGUGAAAGCCCAUCGCUCAACGAUGGAACGGCCAUUGAUACUGUUAGACUUGAAUUACAAGGAAGUAACUAGAAUAUGUAGUGUAGCGGUGAAAUGCUUAGAUAUUACAUGGAAUACCAAUUGCGAAGGCAGGUUACUACUUGUGGAUUGACGCUGAUGGACGAAAGCGUGGGGAGCGAACAGGAUUAGAAACCCCUGUAGUCC